Heterocephalus glaber (naked mole-rat) is the source of this 187-nucleotide small nuclear RNA. Its record names the gene U4. It matches the Rfam family "U4 spliceosomal RNA". From Rfam's summary of the family: U4 small nuclear RNA (U4 snRNA) is a component of the major U2-dependent spliceosome. The structure of U4 snRNA from yeast and human has been reported. U4 snRNA presents a k-turn RNA motif in the 5p-SL related to recognition of Snu13 protein. NCBI's taxonomy places the organism in Eukaryota, Metazoa, Chordata, Mammalia, Rodentia, Bathyergidae. The record is from Ensembl.
AGCUUUGCACAGUGGCAGUAUCAUAGCCAAUGAAGUUUAUCCAAGGUGAGAUUAUUGCUAAUUGAGAAAAUGGCCAAGGACUAGAAAUAGUCCCCAAGGUCACACCACUAUAAUCACCUACCAAAAGCUCUACAUCUGAAUAUAAGUCUUUUGGAUGACAUUUUUGUUCCAAACCAUUAGCAAGAUU